This 416-nucleotide ribosomal RNA is filed under the name uncultured bacterium. RNAcentral's name for it is "bacterial SSU rRNA". It matches the Rfam family "Bacterial small subunit ribosomal RNA", at positions 31 to 492 of the family's 1533-position model. The record is from RNAcentral.
GUACGCUGGCGGCACGCCUAACACAUGCAAGUCGAACGAAGUAGCAAUACUUAGUGGCAGACGGGUGAGUAACAUGUAGGUAUCUGCCCUUUGGCCUGGAAUAACACGAGGAAACUUGUGCUAAUACCGGAUAAGUCUUUACGGAGAAAGCUUUAUGCACCACUGGAUGAGCCUGCACUUGAUUAGUUUGUUGGUAGGGUAAUGGCCUACCAAGACUGUGAUCAAUAGCUGAUUUGAGAGGAAGACCAGCCACAUUGGGACUGAGACACGGCCCAGACUCCUACGGGAGGCAGCAGUAAGGAAUCUUGCACAAUGGGGGAAACCCUGAUGCAGCGAUGCCGCGUGAGUGAAGAAGGCCUUUGGGUUGUAAAACUCUUUCGUCGGGGAAGAAAAUGACUGUACCCGAAUAAGAAGGU